GUACGGGGUUGUAGAGAGACAGAGACAGAGACAGAGACAGAGACAGAGAAUGGCUAGAAUCCUACCACCGGCGUCGUCAUCGCCACCGCCGUCGACUUCACAACUUUCCCCUUCACUUCUACCUUCUCUUUUACUCUCUUCUUCUUCUUGUUCUCGACUCCGUGUUCCUCUCUCUCGUGCUUACAUCCCUUCGCGGAGAAUCGCACUCCUUCACCUCGGCGGCGCUAUUCCUCAGUCAUUGUUAUCUGGUGUAAAAGCUUCCACAUUGCUAAGACUGGAGGGGAAUUCUAUAGAGGGCUCUACAGCUGCAAAUAUGGCACAACCUAGUACUAAUGUCACAGAGAAUAAUGCAAUAGACUGGGUCAAAAAUGACAACAGAAGAAUGCUUCAUGUUGUUUAUCGCGUCGGGGAUUUGGAUAAGACAAUAAAAUUCUAUACUGAGUGCUUGGGUAUGAAGCUGUUGAGAAAACGUGACAUACCUGAGGAGAGAUAUUCAAAUGCUUUUCUUGGAUAUGGGCCCGAAGAAUCCAAUUUUGCUAUUGAACUUACUUACAAUUAUGGAGUUGACAAGUAUGACAUUGGAACUGGUUUUGGUCACUUUGGUAUUGCAGUCAAAGACGUUAUGAAAGUGGUGGAUCUUGUAAAAGCAAAGGGAGGCAAAGUAACAGGGGAACCUUCUCCCAUUAAAGGUGGCAAUACCACUAUUGCCUUCAUUGAAGAUCCAGAUGGUUAUAAGUUUAAGCUUUUGGAGAGGGGGCCUACACCUGAACCACUAUGUCAAUUAAUGCUGCGAGUGGGAGACCUUGAUCGCUCAAUAACUUACCAUAAGAAGGCCUAUGGCAUGGAGCUUCUUAGAAAAAGAGAUUACCCUGAAUACAAGUACACCACAGCAAUGAUGGGCUAUGGUCCUGAAGAUAAAAAUGUUGUGCUGGAAUUGACAUAUAACUAUGGGGUCAAAGAAUAUGACAAAGGAAAUGGUUAUGCACAGAUUGCAAUAGGCACUAACGAUGUCUACAAGACUGCAGAAGCAAUAAAAGUGUUUGGCGGAAAAAUCGCCCUUCAACCUGGGCCUUUGCCGGGAAUCAACACUAAGAUUAUGGCUUGCUUGGACCCUGAUGGUUGGAAAUCGGUCUUUGUUGAUAAUGUUGAUUUUCUCAAGGAGUUAGAGUAACCAAAGCAUCAGCCUAGCUUCUCUUGACUGAAUCUAUGGAGAGAUUCAUAAUGAUUUUGUUGUUUAGAGAUUUUCCAUAACAAAAUGAUGGUACUACAACUGAUGGAUUGAUACCUGUAGCCGCUCCAGCGGUUAGGGCCAUGAUGUCUCCAUUAGUCCUUGCGUUAACUGCAGAACUGACCACUGCCAAGAUGUGUUCCUGCUCAGCUCCCAUUUCCUCUGCUAUCUCAAUGCAAUGUGAUGCUACUAAAGCUGCUGCAGAUGCAACCGCAGCUGAUGUUUUGGAAGGUGCCUUGUGUUGAGUAGUCGACUUUUCAGGCAAUGUCGCUAAUGAGGCAGUGAGAGCAGCCACAGCAGCAGCGACCCCGGCCACAGAUACUGCUGAGUGCAAUUGGGCAUUGUGGGUUCUUAACUCCUGCUUCUUCCUCUCCUUUUGAUCUUUCAACCAUCUGCCCACUGUCCUUCCUCUCACAAUGUUCUUAUACAACUGAAGAACCAUAAUACUAGUCAGAGAUAUAUUGGUAAUGGUCAUUGUGAUUCAUGAGUUUUGAGUCAGACAUACCCCAUUUUUUACUAGUUGCUGACUAAUGAGGGAAUCUGGAUUUAGGGCUCGAUGGAGUAAAAAGAGCUCCUGUGCAGAAUAACUGUUAUGUUAGUUUAUAGCACGAAAGAAAAAGAAAAUGAUUUUUAACUCAUUUGUUUC
RNA transcript from Rhododendron vialii, 1874 nucleotides. It is a transcript of the gene named probable lactoylglutathione lyase, chloroplastic, with no coding region annotated. The record is from RefSeq and is a predicted model, not a curated record. Lineage: Eukaryota; Viridiplantae; Streptophyta; Magnoliopsida; Ericales; Ericaceae. The transcript is spliced from 11 exons.